GAUGAACGCUGGCGGCGUGCCUAAUACAUGCAAGUCGAGCGGUAACACUUCGGGUGACGAGCGGCGGACGGCAGAGUAACGCGUAGGAACGUACCCCAAACUGAGGGAUAAGCACCGGAAACGGUGUCUAAUACCGCAUAUUAUUUUCGUAAUCAAAGCCUUCGGGCGGGUUUGGGUAGGCGGCCUGCGUAUGAUUAGUUAGUUGGUGAGGUAACGGCUCACCAAGACGACGAUCAUUAGCUGGCUGAGAGGAUGAUCAGCCUGACUGGAACUGAGACACGGUCCAGACUCCUACGGGAGGCAGCAGUAGGGAAUUUUCCGCAAUGGGCGAGAGCCUGACGGAGCAACGCCGCGUGCAGGAGGAAGGCCUU
RNAcentral lists this ribosomal RNA (371 nucleotides) under uncultured bacterium. RNAcentral's name for it is "bacterial SSU rRNA". It matches the Rfam family "Bacterial small subunit ribosomal RNA", at positions 28 to 418 of the family's 1533-position model. The record is from RNAcentral.